GAUGAACGCUGGCGGCGUGCCUAAUACAUGCAAGUCGAGCGAACAGACGAGGAGCUUGCUCCUCUGACGUUAGCGGCGGACGGGUGAGAAACACGUGGAUAACCUACCUAUAAGACUGGGAUAACUUCGGGAAACCGGAGCUAAUACCGUAUAAUAUAUUGAACCGCAUGGUUCAAUAGUGAAAGACGGUUUUGCUGUCACUUAUAGAUGGAUCCGCGCCGCAUUAGCUAGUUGGUAGGGUAACGGCUUACCAAGGCAACGAUGCGUAGCCGACCUGAGAGGGUGAUCGGCCACACGGGAGCUGGGACGCGGACCAGACUCCUGCGGGAGGCAGCAGUAGGGAAUCUUCCGCAAUGGGCGAGAGCCUGACGGAGCGACGCCGCGUGAGUGAUGAAGGUCUUCGGAUCGUAAAACUCUGUUAUUAGGGAAGAACAAAUGUGUAAGUAACUAUGCACGUCUUGACGGUACCUAAUCAGAAAGCCACGGCUAACUACGUG
Molecule: ribosomal RNA, 497 nt
Filed under: uncultured bacterium
Lineage: Bacteria
Description: partial 16S ribosomal RNA
Rfam family: Bacterial small subunit ribosomal RNA
Source: RNAcentral